Esox lucius (northern pike) is the source of this 1246-nucleotide long non-coding RNA. Lineage: Eukaryota; Metazoa; Chordata; Actinopteri; Esociformes; Esocidae. The record is from Ensembl.
AAUUUUAAUAACUAUUUGUUAUCUGACAUAACUGAAGAAGACUUACCCCCUGAGUCUCAAAUGGAACACUUUCCCCCUGUGUACUAUUUCUGGCCAGUACACUAUGGGCCCUUGUUCAAAGUAAUGCACUGAAUAGGGAAUAAGGUACCAUUUGGGCCAGACCAGGUAACUGCAAUCACAUGGCCUCGUCAGCUACAAUGAGCCUUCUUUGAAUCUGAUAAGGGCUGGGUCGGAAGACCUCCAACAACCCUACCGCUAUUUGAUGACCUACUCCCAGUCACAAUUCCCACCGACCCAGCGCCGACAGGCCCAGUGGCCCACAACAAUACAUCACACAGGGGCUUGGGCACGCCUCCACAACCACGACGAGGCGGCAUUUCAAUGUUAUUUUUGUUCAGUGUUCCCGCUCCCAGAUGCAGGUCCACAGAGAGGAGCAGGUUCAGAAAUUCGGGACAAGUUGAAUAACAGAAAUACCAUAGUUUUCAAACCUGGAGUAGACUUGGACCGAUGUGUUAGGUAGCUGAGUUGGUCGUUGCUCCAACCUUCUGAACGUGACUCACCACAAUGUUUUCAUUUUUUUUUUAAAUCAAAAACAACGUGAUAUCGAAGGAGUGCCUUUGAUUUGACGCGCACGAGUUUUGCUAGCUAAUGUCACUGUAACAUCGACUGCGAGCGUGAUCUGACAUUUCUGUAGUGGAAAGAGCGCAUCGUCCCAGGUGGUCGUCUGGCUCAGGGACCGACUCUGUAAGGGGCACUGUCAUGGAGCUGCCGCAGAGAGAUCGCUACGGGAUAGAUAAACCUCUCAUGACGCGCAAGGUCGAUGAUGACGACGUGAAAGGCUCAAUGCAAGUGUGACUGACUGUAAGGUCUAAAUCUAAAUAUGAGACUAUUGUCAGUGCUACUGUGUGACAAUUAAUGAUAGCACUUCUUCAACAUGAGCUUUAUACAAAGCAUCUACUGUUUGUGGAUACAAAAGUUGUUUGUAUAGUUUGCCCAGGAGAGGAAGAGGGAAGGUAGGUAGAUAAGCCCGUCUGGUGCCUGCCAUUCAAGCCCCGCUGAACGGAUACAUUCAGUACAGACUCAGUGUUGGUAUAGUCAAAAUUGUAUCAUCAUUUCCUAAAUAUCAUCUGCUUUUUUCUCUGUGUGGUGAUUUCACUGUACGCAAAAAAAGAGCCUAUAAUUAUACUGAACCUGAAUGGAUAUAUGAUCACGGUACAUUUCCAAAAUAAAUUAUUUUUCAAUGGGA